AACCCUCUGUUCCCUUUCCCAUUCAAUCUUGAUGCUGGUCUUACAGUCAUGAAGUAGAGUAGCAGUGUGCUAAAGCUGGCCUCGGCAAUGUAGUCUACCAAAGCAUCGGGCCAGAUUCAAACAUGC
Molecule: small nucleolar RNA, 126 nt
Filed under: Meriones unguiculatus (Mongolian gerbil)
Lineage: Eukaryota; Metazoa; Chordata; Mammalia; Rodentia; Muridae
Description: Small nucleolar RNA SNORA61 (ENSMUGG00000012003.1)
Source: RNAcentral